RNAcentral lists this ribosomal RNA (267 nucleotides) under uncultured soil bacterium. Its description in RNAcentral is "partial 16S ribosomal RNA". It matches the Rfam family "Bacterial small subunit ribosomal RNA", at positions 26 to 321 of the family's 1533-position model. The record is from RNAcentral.
AGAACGAACGCUGGCGGCAGGCUUAACACAUGCAAGUCGAACGGGCCCUUCGGGGUCAGUGGCAGACGGGUGAGUAACACGUGGGAACGUACCUUUCAGUUCGGAAUAACCCAGGGAAACUUGGGCUAAGACCGGAUACGCCCUUUUGGGGAAAGAUUUAUCGCUGAGAGAUCGGCCCGCGUCUGAUUAGCUAGUUGGUGAGGUAAAGGCUCACCAAGGCGACGAUCAGUAGCUGGUCUGAGAGGAUGAUCAGCCACAUUGGGACUG